RNAcentral lists this long non-coding RNA (2201 nucleotides) under Canis lupus familiaris (dog). RNAcentral describes it as "lncRNA (ENSCAFG00000057873.1)". The record is from RNAcentral. Lineage: Eukaryota; Metazoa; Chordata; Mammalia; Carnivora; Canidae.
UUUUUUUUUUUUUUUUUUUUUUAAUUCAUGAGAGACAGGGAGAGGGGCAGAGACACAGGCAGAGGGAGAAUCAGGCUCCAUGCAGGGAGCCCAGUGUGGGACUCGAUCCCGGGCUGCCCUACUAGGCUCUUUUAAUGGCUUCCCAAAUUAAUCAGUUGGGAAGCAUUUCUGCUUUUUUUUUUUUUCUUUUUGGCCACCCAUCAAAUGACCCUUUAAAUAAAGAAUUUUCCAACCUUGUCAAAGGACACUCAUGAUAUAACUUGAUAUAUAAAAAUAAAGUAUUACCACUUUAUAGUCAGGAAAUUGAUAUGCUAUGUCGCAAUUAUUGCGCAUUAACCAGAUAAAACAUCUUUAAUAAAUUAGUAAUUUGUCCAUGUGGAAAUUACCUCCAACUUAAUGGUCUAUUUAAUUGCCUCUAAAGGAUUUUAAAUCUAUCAUAAGGUGUGUUUUUUUUUUUAAUGCAUAGAAUGUAGUGUAAAUAGAAAUAUGUGUAAUUGUCAUGAUCUCCAGAAAGAUUCAAGCCUUAAAUUACAUUAGUGUUGUGAAUCCUGGUUCAAAACAACAAAACAAAAUCUGUUUUGAUGGGCAGCCCUGGUGGCUCAGUGGUUUAGUGCCGUCUUCAGCCCAGGGCCUGAUCCUGGAGACCCGGCAUUGAGUCCCACAUCGGGCUCCCUGUAUGGAUGGAGCCUGCUUCUCCCUCUGCCUGUGUCUCUGUCUCUCAUAAAUAAAUAAAAAUCUUUUUUAAAAUAUGUUUCGAUUAUAUUUAGCAUUAUCUCAGUUUAUAUUCUGACACUUCAGGUAAAACUGUAGGCUUUAUGUUCUUUACUCUUUUUCAUUUAGAUUGUUAUUAGGUAUUUUAUGUAGUGCUAAAGAAAACAUAGUCAGUGGCUGCAUAUUAAAGAUGAUAGGUUAUUUAUCAAGCUCACAGGUGAAUAUGUGGCAAAGAUCACAGUUUUCAACUAUAAAGGAAAGGAACUGGGUGCUGUAAAAAAAAGAAUAACCUAAUUUAGAUUUGGGGUUCCCAAGACCUCUCUGAAAAGAGGGCAUUUGAGAUUGGAAUAAUAAAAAGGUAGAAAGUGUGCAAAUUCUGAGGUGGAAACAGCUUUCAUGCUUUCAAGGAAAUGGAAGAUAGAGAGGGAGACCGCCACUAUAAGUGCUUGAAAGGAGAGAGUAUCAAGAUAAAUUUGGAAAGGUAAGCAAAGGCCGCAUCCUGCAACACCUUUAAAGACUUGUGGGAAACGUUAGAUUUUAUUACAAGUACAGGGGAAAGCCGUAGAGGAGUUCUUAAGCAAGUCAUCACCUAAUAGUCUUGUAGAAAAGAAAUUGUACAUUUGAAGAACAUAAGAAUGGGAGAAAUUCACACUUAAGUCAAGAGAAUAGUAUGUGUUUCAUCUAUAAGGAUGGUAGAAAUGACUUCUCGAUUGGACUCUUGUGUUUAUACUUUAAGAUAUUGAGGUCAAUGUAAACUUCCUGCUGUUUGAUACUGUUUUGACUUGUAUUUAAGUAAUGCUACCAAAGGUUUCCUUUUUUCCUUUAGAAAUGUCAUAUUUAGAAGCUAUUUUUAUAUUUCUGAUAGAAUGUACAAUCAGAUUUCUCUUUCUGUAGGAGCAAGGACAGGAAGAGAACCAUAUCUAGUUGUGUAAGGAAAGAUACAUGAACAUAGGAUAUGAUGUCGCAAAACAUCCAGGCAGAUAGAAAAGAGAAGGAAGAUUCAAUAUAACAAAAUAUUCUUGCUGGAAAAGCUCCAGCUCUUGUGUUUCAGUCUUCUCACAUUAAAAUUGAGGCAUUUAGGAGGAUAAAAGUUCAUUUUAAAUAAAAUUAUAACUAUAAAUAGAAUCACAUGUAAGGUGAUAUUUACUAACCCAGUUAAUGACACUUGGAGAGAUGAAUGGACCCUGUAUCUUUAAUCUUUGCUUUCUCUGUCCCAAACAAGUAUUUACACCAGAAGUAUACUACAUGUGUAGACUACCAAAAAACUAGCUAUCAGAUUCUUCUCAAAUCAGAUAUCAAAGAUUUACCCCCACUGUUUUCUGCAAACUACUGUUCUCCUUCUCUCCAUCCGACUCUUCUCCAGUUGCAUUACUUGGUAUAAGGCUUCAGAAAUGUUCUCUAUUAGCUUUGACUAAAAGCCUUUGCAGACCUAGUCUAGAAAUUGUCUCUACAAGAAAUAAAGUCUAAUAAAAAAGAAAAGAAAAGAAAAA